GACGAACGCUGGCGGCGUGCUUAACACAUGCAAGUCGAACGGAAAGGCCCUGCUUUUGUUGGUUGCUCGAGUGGCGAACGGGUGAGUAACACGUGAGUAACCUGCCCUUGACUUUGGGAUAACUUCAGGAAACUGGGGCUCAUACCGGAUAUGAGCUCCUGCUGCAUGGUGGGGGUUGGAAAGUUUCGGCGGUUGGGGAUGGACUCGCGGCUUAUCAGCUUGUUGGUGGGGUAGUGGCUUACCAAGGCUUUGACGGGUAGCCGGCCUGAGAGGGUGACCGGCCACAUUGGGACUGAGAUACGGCCCAGACUCCUACGGGAGGCAGCAGUGGGGAAUAUUGCACAAUGGGCGGAAGCCUGAUGCAGAAACGCCGCGUGCGGGAUGACGGCCUUCGGGUUGUAAACCGCUUUCGCAUGUGACGAAGCGUGAGUGACGGUAAUGGGUAAAGAAGCACCGGCUAACUACGUG
RNAcentral lists this ribosomal RNA (468 nucleotides) under uncultured bacterium. RNAcentral describes it as "partial 16S ribosomal RNA". It matches the Rfam family "Bacterial small subunit ribosomal RNA", at positions 28 to 507 of the family's 1533-position model. The record is from RNAcentral.